Molecule: ribosomal RNA, 443 nt
Filed under: Agrostis capillaris (colonial bentgrass)
Lineage: Eukaryota; Viridiplantae; Streptophyta; Magnoliopsida; Poales; Poaceae
Also listed under: 1 other name
Description: eukaryotic LSU rRNA
Rfam family: Eukaryotic large subunit ribosomal RNA (bases 303-443)
Source: RNAcentral
UGCAGAAUCCCGCGAACCAUCGAGUCUUUGAACGCAAGUUGCGCCCGAGGCCAUUCGGCUGAGGGCACGCCUGCCUGGGCGUCACGCAAAACACGCUCCCACCCCCUCAUCGGGUAGCGGGACGCGGCAUGUGGCCCCCCGUAGCGCAAGCUGCGGUGGGCCGAAGAUAUGGCUGCCGGCGUAUCGUGCCGGACACAGCGCGUGGUGAGCGACCUCGCUUUACUUACCGCAGUGCAUCCGGGGCGUAGCCGACGUGAUGGCCUCUAAGGACCCUUUUAACGGUGCGCACGACGCUCCGACCGCGACCCCAGGUCAGGCGGGACUACCCGCUGAAUUUAAGCAUAUAAAUAAGCGGAGGAGAAGAAACUUACAAGGAUUCCCCUAGUAACGGCGAGCGAACCGGGAACAGCCCAGCUUGAGAAUCGGGCGGCCGUGCUGUCCGA